UCAAAAACAGUGACAUAACUUUGAAAAAGCAAGGAACUUGUAAAAGAAGGAAGGAAGGAAGGAAGGAAGGAAGGAUUAGAUCCAAAGAAGGCGACACAAAUGUCACAUUUUGGUAGGAAAAAGAAGUCUACAU
Etheostoma spectabile (orangethroat darter) is the source of this 133-nucleotide long non-coding RNA. RefSeq lists it as uncharacterized. The transcript is spliced from 2 exons. Lineage: Eukaryota; Metazoa; Chordata; Actinopteri; Perciformes; Percidae. The record is from RefSeq and is a predicted model, not a curated record.